GCCAGUGCCUUGAUGUUCUCCCACCCAAAGGGGAUUAAUUGCUGGGAUGGAAUGAAGAGCACAGCACAGAGAGCAGACAUGGUCCAGACCUCGCAGGACUAAUUAUGCUCUUAAAGGGUCUGGAUUUCUGAUCUUGGUUAGCCACAGAAGCUGCUCUGGAAAAGCCUUUAAGAGAGGAAACAGCCUAGCUGGAUAAAUGGGAAAUGAAGCUAAGGGAAGGGAGGUGGCAUUUUGCCCGUCGUGCUGCAAACCAAGUGGGCAGCUCAGAAGCUCAAGGACAACCUUGGGUCCCUGCUCCGUGGAUGUCUGACUCCUCCAGGCCAUAACUGAGACACAUUUUCAUCCUUGCUCCUCUUCACCCUCC
This is a long non-coding RNA of Pogoniulus pusillus (Red-fronted tinkerbird), 364 nucleotides long. RefSeq lists it as uncharacterized. The record is from RefSeq and is a predicted model, not a curated record. Lineage: Eukaryota; Metazoa; Chordata; Aves; Piciformes; Lybiidae. The transcript is spliced from 3 exons.